GAUGAAGAAUGUAGCGAAAUGCGAUACUUGGUGUGAAUUGCAGAAUCCCGUGAACCAUCGAGUCUUUGAACGCAAGUUGCGCCCGAAGCCAUCAGGUUGAGGGCACGUCUGCCUGGGCGUCACAUAUCGUUGCCCAAUGCCUAUUGCAGUGCAAUAGGAAUUUCUAGGGCGAAUGAUGGCUUCCCGUGAGCGUUGUUGCCUCGCGGUUGGUUGAAAAUCGAGUCCUUGGUAGGGUGUGCCAUGGUAGAUGGUGGUCGAGUUAGAACGAUACCGAUCAUGUGCAUGCUCCCCAAAAUAUGGCCUCUAUGACCCACACGCGUCUUUUGACGCUCAUGACGAGACCUCAGGUCAGGCGGGGCUACCCGCUGAAUUUAAGCAUAUCAAUAAGCGGAGGA
RNAcentral lists this unclassified non-coding RNA (395 nucleotides) under soil metagenome. RNAcentral describes it as "partial contains 5.8S ribosomal RNA, internal transcribed spacer 2, and large subunit ribosomal RNA". The stretch from base 1 to 122 matches the Rfam family "5.8S ribosomal RNA", at positions 35 to 154 of the family's 154-position model. The record is from RNAcentral.